CCCAGCGCCGGGGCCCACCCUGAAGGAUCUGGGGCGGCCGCUCUGGGACCCCGGGAAGAGCGCGGCGAGGAAGAGGCACUUCCUGCCUGGGCCCCCCACCCUGGGCCGAUUCCCGAGUGCCUCGAAGCCGCCCGACCCGAACGGGCGCCUCAGUCCCCACCGGCCCCGAGUCCAGCCCCUCCCGCGGGACUCACCCUGAGCGGCGGUGAGAUCCGCGGCUGCCAGCGGCUUGUCGCUCUUCAGCUGGCGGCCAAUGUAGUCAGUCUGGGGACCCACCUCCCCCUUUCAGCUGAGCGCACACAACACAGCAUCCACGUGAGUCAGCUUCUUAAAGGCGAAGGCUUGGCCUGUCUAAUUGCGGCAGCUGCGAGACAUCGCACGUCAUUAGCGUCACCAGGUAGCGGCUGGAGCCGAGCUUCCUGAUACCUAGUGAGCCGCGGUGAUGACAAAUGAAAACAAUAAGCUGUUUCCUAGACAAACAGCUGCCUAGUUUCGCUCUGUCGCCCAGGCUGGAGUGCAGUGGCACAAUCUCGGUUCACUGCAACCUCUGCCUCCCGGGUUCAAGCAGUUCUCUUGCCUCAGCCUCCCAAGUAACUGGUACUACAGAGAAUUGAUACAAAAAAUGAUCAUGUGAAGAAUUUGCAUCUUCUGCAGAACUACCGGUAUCAGUCAGCAGUAGGAGAUUGUAUAAAUUCAGCCUGAGAUUCCAGAAUAUUCUGUGUAUUGACCACCACAGCAAGAAGAAAAAGUCCAUGUAGGACUGAAAUGUAAGUCUUACGAUUGCUCAACCUGGUCUCUCUACCAUAACACCUUUGAAUUGAGUUAUCUCACAAAUAAUAAUUUCCAUGUCUACUUGAAGUGGA
RNAcentral lists this long non-coding RNA (863 nucleotides) under Homo sapiens (human). Its description in RNAcentral is "long non-coding RNA NONHSAT184414.1". The record is from RNAcentral. Lineage: Eukaryota; Metazoa; Chordata; Mammalia; Primates; Hominidae.